RNAcentral lists this long non-coding RNA (7299 nucleotides) under Equus caballus (horse). RNAcentral describes it as "lncRNA (ENSECAG00000057822.1)". The record is from RNAcentral. Lineage: Eukaryota; Metazoa; Chordata; Mammalia; Perissodactyla; Equidae.
GGAGUGCAUUUGAUAAGUGCUGUUUCCUGUGGCUAAAUUGUACCCAGGGAUUUUAAGCUUUGAUCACUUUCAAAUGGCAUGUACAUGCACACACAUGAGCGUCUCUAAACAGAGAGACUGAGCUGGAGACUACAAGAGAAGCUUUAUUCCAAUUUCUGCUCUGCCGGAACUCUCGUCUAAGAUCACUGACUUGCCUGGCAGUGGUGUUCAGGAUUUUUAAAGGAAGAUUAGCCCUGAGCUAACAUCCACCACCAAACCUCCUCUUUUUGCUGAGGAAGACUGGCCCUGAGCUAACAUCAAUGCCCAUCUUCGUCCACUUUAUAUGUGGGAUGCCUACCGCAACAUGGCUGGACAAACGGUGCAUAGAUUUGCACCCAGGAUCUGAACCGGUGAACCGCAGGUCGCUGAAGGGUAACAUGCGAACUUAACUGCUGCGCCACUGGACUGGCCCCUCUAAGCGUUAUUUUUUAAACAAAUAUUUGGAGAGAAUCUUCAAUUGCCACGCACUUUUCUAGAAACUCUGGGAGACGUGAAGAAGAAUGAAAAACUGCUCUUGAGCUUAAGGAGCUGCAGUUGAGCAAGAAACCGACUCUUGCGAGUGCAAAAAAUCAACAUAUGAGAAGUGUGUUAAAAUAAAUAAUUACAAAUUAUUGGAGGAUUUAUGAUAAAAUGGUAUCACUUUAGAUUGGAACAUUGGGUAAAAUUCCAUGGAUGAGAUUGCCUUUGGGACACAUCUAAAAGCUCACCUGUGACCACUCAGCUGGAGACAACAGACUGCCACCCUGCUGUGUUCACUGAGACAGAAGACCUACCUGCUGUUUCCAUCAAUCGCUGUGCCGACAGAGCAGUCUCGCAACUACUGUAAAAGGGACAUUUCAAUCCUAUGUGAAACAUCCUCUCUGGGGGUAUAUAACCAGUCUGUGCACCCCACUUCUUUGGUGCCCUUUCUUCCUUCGGGAAGAAAGGCCCCAGGUUAUAAUCCUCAGAUUUAAGCUCAGAAUAAACUCACCCAAAUUUUCAUUUAUAGAUUGGUUAUGGAUUAUAUUCGUCGACACUUUAGACUCUGUUCAUUGAUCCCUCUAGCAAAUUCUCUCUGAACAAACCUGAAUCACUUUUACUCAUCCCUCAUCCAAUCACUGUUGUCAUGAAGGUGAAAUAUUCUGGCUGACAGGCGUAGUUCACAUGCCCACUCUGGAGCAAAAAGCCAGAGAUCCCCUCUUCACCUGAAGCAUGCUGACAGUAAGUAGGGGAGAGGGUCUCCAAAGGAUACUGUAGUGCAGUUGUUGGAAGAACAAGAAGGUAGAGUGGGAGGGAGGGGACAAUUGCUGAGUGAGCAACAUCUACUAAGUCUACUUAAAAAUCAGCAUGAGUCAUCAUUGCCCAGACCCUUAGGUUGGUACACAGUCUGUUUACAAGGUUACCCCAAUCCACCUUCUCAGCUUCUUACUUGCCAUGUCUCUGUUGAGCAACCUUUUGCUUUAAUGGUACCAAAUUGCUAUCAUUCCCGAAAUUUUCUGUCAACUCUCCCACUUCCACAUCUCUGCCAUUGUUACUCUCUCUGACUAGAAUAUUCCACCCUUCCUCCUACAGCACUUUCACUAUCCAUGGAGAAAAUUUCCCUCAUCCUGUAAGACAUUCCUUUCAAAGACGCUUCCCUGUCUCUCUCCCAAGCAAAAUUAAUUUGCCACCUCUUUUCUGACCAUAGUCUCACCUCAUAUUGCAUUCAUUCUGGCCCUAAUUUUUUCUGGUGAAUUUUUAUUUAUUUUCCUUUCUACCUUUUCGGCUAUCAGUUGCCAACUAUCCAUUUAAAUUAAAAUGUUUGCCUUAUUCAUCCCUACAUUUCUAAUGCCUCACAUGAUGCCUCACAUGAUGAUUAUAUUAGAUAUUGGUAAAUUUGUGUUGAAUUAGAAACAGGGUAAAAUAAGAGAUAUAAAUUUAACCUUAAUUUAAAAAGCUAAAAUAUUGGGACUUACUUUCACAUAUUUUCUCAACAUAAGACUGGGCUGAGUAUUUCAAGAAAAAAGUAAAUCCCCAAGAGAUGGCCUAUUACAGACUCAUGCUGACAAUGAAAUUCACUUAUGGUUCCCUAGGUUGUAUCUAUUGUUUCCUAAUGAAUAAAUACAAUGUGUUUUACUGUUCUUGUGACAGGGUUGUCAGGGGUGAUGAAAAGGACUUUAUUCAAAUAGCUUCUCAAUAAAUGGAAGGAGAUUCCCCUGAAGGCCUUUAAGGCGGGCCUGGAAACACAGCGCUAUUUGGCCAGGUAGGCAGUUGUGAUGCAUCUGCUCACUGACCCCAGAAAGCUAUUAAAAAAGGAGCAAAGGAGACCAAAACCCCAAGCUUCCCUUUGUAAACUCUGUUUAUGUAGGAGGAGAAAGUCUGUGCUAGAUUGAUUCCUGCUUGCGAUGAGGAGUGGAAGAUCCAAGGAGUAGCUGAAGUUGAGAGACCCCUUGUGGACAGUGGGCAGUGAGAAGAGGGCUUCCGAGUUGCCGUAACUUACAGAGGGUUGUCAGGUGUCUUUUUAUAUCAUUUAUUACACGUCAGUGUUUGAUGUUCAGUGUUCUAUGUUCUAUUUCUUUCCUGAUUUUAGGAACUCAGAGACACGGAGCAGUAACCAAAUGUCACACUCUGAGUGGGAGUAAAGCUGUCAUAUGGCACCUCUGACUCCCAGACAGGCUGCUGGUGAAAGAUUACGGACUCAUCCUUCAAUGAGUUCUAUAGCUUGGAGGAAACGGAGGAAAUGCCAGAUGGUUAGAGUUUAUGCACAGGAUACAUACCCUUGCCUUCACUGAAUUUUGCCUCAAGAGUCAUAGUAACCAGCUGAGUGAAAGUCCUGAGAGCGUGACUUCAGCAGACACCGCCCGGGGGAUUUCAGCCAAGAAGCUAGAAGAGUAGAGGGAAAAUUAUUUUUCCUCCCCUACACAAUUAAAAUCUAAAAGGCACAGUGCUCACAGGAGAAGAGAUGAAGCACGAGCAUCAAAGGCACAGGCCCUGGGAAGCACAGUUAUCACAUGUUCACAUACAUAUUUUUUAAAUUUGCAAAAGGAAAAUACUGUAAGCAAAACCGGUUACUAUCACUGCCUCCUCAACUCCAACUUCUCCUAUAUCACAUUCCUGUCAUGUCAAGUGGCCUUAGACCAGCAAUUUUAGAGUCCAGCUGAGGGACAGUUGCAUGAGAGAUAUUUGUAGUUUCCAUUUAGUGGAUAUAAUUCUGGGCCUACAGUCAUAUCUGUGUGUAGAUGUGUUUUGAUUAGUCAUCUUGGUGUAGAAAUGGCUUCUGGGACUGUUCUCACCCUUGACCUGGCACUCACCUGGCAAACUGACAUGAAGGUGUGGGGCCAAAGGUCAUGCUGCAUAGUGAACAUAUUCCUAAAUGCUUAGCACUGGAAGUAAGUGAAUAAUAUAGUAGAGAUGAGGUUUGAAGCUCAGAUAACCAGAACUUACUUUUUGAAAAUUUAUAGCUCAUAUGUGAAAAAAACUUGAUCGAAAUAUUUCCAAAUUUGGAAACAGUCCUGAAAGUUUUCUUGGUGUUACAAAAUUUAUGCUGUGAAGCUUGAGAAAUUUUUUAUGCAAAGAAUAAUGAAAUUAUAUUUCAAUGAACAAUGUGACAGAAAACAUGACCACUUUUUCAGAGGGGAGAAGUUGGAAGCAGCUAGAAAGGGGUUAGAGUCAGGGGCUGUGAGCAGGGAAAACAGCAAGUUGAGAAGUUGUACUCACACCUUUUGCAGCAGGCAGGGCUGUAAUUUUAAAGUGAAAGGUUUCCAUGGCCACUGCUGGGCAAUUUGCAUUAGCAUUGUAUAUUGCUGGCAUUUUAAGUUAAAAUUACUGCCUUGGUUCAACUCGCACUGUACUUACUAAAAGAUUCUGCUACCUUACCAUUGAGAGCUACUAGUCCCCCAAAAUUGGCUUAGAUAUUUUGGUAGAACAAUUUUUACCUUUUCUUCUUCUUUUUCUUAAAUUUUCCACCACUUCUGCCUCAUGUAUGAGUUUUUCAGUCUUUCUCAGAAAGAAUACUCCAGCAGUGGGGAUAGUGUUCAUUUUCAAAAGGGUUUACGGUGUUCAAUGACAUAGAAGGUCACUUGCCAUGUUUAUGGCUGUCCCUGGGAACUCCCAUAAGGUCGGAGAAAUUGUAUCUACCUAUCAAGAGUCUUAUAAUUUCUAUAAAUAAAAUUAUGUAUCCAUCUUUAUGUAUUACUGCAUUACCCCAGAUAUGGCUGGCUGAAUACCUAGCCAAAUUGUUAGGAUACGUUUGGGAUGGCAUGCUUUAAAAUAUAAGUCAUGUGGGCAUAUAUAUAUUCUUUUCAGAGUACCAGCAUUCCUAUACAGUAGUAUGAAAUCUAUACACCUGUGUGUGUGUGUGUCUGUGUGUGUGUAUUUAGAGAACAGUGUGACACAUCAUUUUGAAAAGUCAAUGAGGUGAACUGAGAAAUAUACAUUCAACUUUUUUCCCCCCAAAUGAAGGACUACAUGUGUUUAUUAAUUUUCUAGUUGGUUGCUUUUAUUUUUUCCUGUGGAUAGAGAUAAGAAUAUAUAUCUAACAAAAGUGCAUCAUGAACUCAAAAAACCUUAGAUCCCUAUCAGCAAAAAUAUUUUUUAAGAAGAUACAUUUGAAAGAAUCUGAUAUUGGGGUGGAGAUAUGCGCUAUCAAGGGCAAAAGAGAUAGAGCAAAUUUUUGCAACCCAGAGAGAGAGGCUGUCAUUGUCCUUAGGAGAUAAAACCGAAGCCAAACAAGUGGGCUCUGGGACUGUGGACUGGAAGUGGUAUUUUCUAGCUUGUUUGGGUGAACGAUAGUCCAGAAAGAGCAAUGUCUGGUUAAUAAUAAGAAGAGACUCCUCAGUAGCAGUUUGCCAAACACCAGAACCAAAGAUGAUUUCCAACAUGAUUUAAUCCCUAUUUUGCUAAGAAAACAGUUAAGAAGGGUCACUGUAGCAAAUUCGCCAUUAAUUUAAACUCUGAUUUGGAAAAGGGAAGUGAAGUUACAAGCUGGACCAAUGGCAGGUCAGGUUUGAAUCAAUUAUUGCGCUCCCAGGAGAAAGGUUUUAUCUUUUAAAAUCCAAAUGUUAGAAAAAUGGCAUUCAAAUCUACACCAGUGUACGUUAAUAGAUUGUUAAAGAAAGAGAGUGAAUAUAUACCUCUGAAUUGUCACUAAUUUCCUCAAAGUAGGAAUUUAUAUUUUAAAUUUUUAAAAUUUUCUUCUUUCCUCCUCCUUUCUUCCUUUCUUUGUCUCUCUGACUCUCUGUUUAUGGAAAAUCACUGAUGGAGUUCAGGGCAGGCUACCCCAGAAUGUACCACUUUGGCAUGUGGAUUGUUUCAAGCUGAAGACAAUCAAGGCUCAACAGACUCAAGAACAGCUUUUACUUGUCUCUUAACUGCCUAAAAUAAUUUAGAUAAGGAGCCUGUACCAGGAAGAGAGCCAUUAGCGGAGAUAACUUCUUAUAUCAGAAAGACUUAUGCGCAUGACAUGGCAACCGUUUGUUUACCAAAUAUUUGCUCUUCCCAUCUUCCUGUGAAUCGUAUUCCUUCCCUUUGAAGCCUCAGACCCCUCUUCCCUUCUCCUUAACUCAGAAUGACUUAUAGGUUUCAAUUAUCUGACUGUCUGAGAGCCUGUCACAUCUUUGUGGGGCGCUUGUAUGUACAGAAUUAAAUUUGUUUUUCUCCUGUCAAUCUGUCUGAUGUCAAUUUAAUUACGAGGCAAGCCAAAGAACCUAGAAAGAAAGAUGGAAAAAGUUUUCCUCCUGUAUAUCACCAAAAAAAGAAGAAAAGCAGCUGCCUUCUCUCUCAUCAUCCAGUAGAGAACCAGGCCACUUCUCUUCACCACUGUCCUGAUUCUACGAGAAAUUCUCUGGUAUGGAGAAAACCAUCUGGGAAAACCUACUCACCACAGUAAAGGAAUGGAGGGCUCUCUUUGUAAUCUUGUAAUUCCAUUCACUAGAGAGUGAUGUUUUUAUGUUUGUGAAAUAGAUAGUGGUAUAUGUGUUUUUACUUCUAGAAAGUGAAAAAUAAAAUGAGUCAGCCUCUUAAAUGUCUCUCUUAUUAAUCCCUAUAUUUUUCUAUAAUCCAAAUAUUCAGAAAGACAUUUUCUGGUUUUACCCUGGAAAGUCCAGCAACCUGAAUGCAAAAUCUAUUAUAUGUGAAUCUCUGGCUCAAAAGUCUUCAUUGGUGUCCUGCUGUCUCCUAGAUUAAAUGUAAACUACUUAUCAUAGAAGCCAGAUGUGAAAACUGCACACAGAUUCAGAAAUCCACUAAUUCAGAAUGAAUGGGAUAAGGACAGAGAGAAACAAAUUUAAGAAGAUUCUAUCCUGAGUGUUCACCAGAAGUCAUUUACCUGGAUGUCCCCAAUUCCGCCAGACUGUUUGGCUCAUCUACUUUUUCAUUUCUUAAUACAAUUAUCUUCAAGGCUUUUUUGUUUAUAUGCUGGGGCACGGAACAAUGUUUCUAACAUAUCAGGAAAUUUUGGAGGGGUGUAUAUUUUCCUCUAAUUUCUCACUUCUGAUACAGUCUUGUUACAUGAUACUUGCUUUGAGUUUGGCUUCCUUUUUUUUUUAAACUGUUUUUGGAGAGGGUUUUAAUUUUUUUUUUUAAAGAUUGGCACCUGAGCUAACAACUGUUGCCAAUCUUCUUUUUUAUGUUUUUAUUCUUCUCCCCAAAGCCCCCCAGUACAUAGUUGUAUAUUCUGGCUGUAAGUGGCUCUGGCUGUGCUAUGCGGGAUGCUGCCUCAGCAUGGCUUGAUGAGCGGUGCCAUGUCCGUGCCCAGGAUCCGAACCGGCGAAACCCUGGGCUGCCGAAGCAGAGUGCGUGAACUUAACCACUUGGCCACGGGGCCGGCCCCUGAGUUUGGCUUCUUAAGCAUCUAUCUCUUGUCCAUUCGAAGUUUGUGUGCUAGGCAGAAGGUUAUAUGAAAAGUUUGAGUCAAUGAAAGAGGAAAUUAUUAUAUAUCAUAGCCUCCACCCAAACAAAAUUUAGUUUUAACAAUCCUUAUUUCUUAUGAGUCCCUCAGCCUUCUCUCCCUGUAGAGACACCGCGUCCAGUCCUGUAACUCGACCCCGUUCUCUGCUUCCCUUGACUCUUGAGCCUUUUCUGACUCAAAUCCAUAUCCGUGUCCAUUAAAGCAGGGUGACUACCUCUCUGUGCUGCUUAAGCUUUUGUCAAGACCAUUGCCUGGACAUAUCAUCUAAGGAAACUUUCAUUAGCUACCUGCUUCCAACUGAAUCCUUGAAAGUUAUGAUAGUACCAGAAAUUUCAAAUUCAGCCAAUGCUGUCCAUGUAUUUUUAAAUACAUCUUAGUCAAUUGGAAAGAAAAAU